GAUGGACGCUAGCGGCAGGCUUAACACAUGCAAGUCGAGGGGUAGAGGUUGCUUGCAACCUUGAGACCGGCGCACGGGUGCGUAACGCGUAUGCAACCUACCUUUUACAGAGGGAUAGCCCAGAGAAAUUUGGAUUAAUACCUCAUAGUAUAUAACCUUCGCAUGUUGGUUAUAUUAAAGUUCCAACGGUAAAAGAUGGGCAUGCGUCCUAUUAGCUAGAUGGUAAGGUAACGGCUUACCAUGGCAACGAUAGGUAGGGGUCCUGAGAGGGAGAUCCCCCACACUGGUACUGAGACACGAACCAGACUCCUACGGGAGGCGGCAGUGGGGAAUAUUGGACAAAGGGCGCAAGCCUGAUCCAGCCAUGCCGCGUGCAGGAAGAAGCAUCUAUGGUGUGUAAACUGCUUUUGUACAGGAAGAAACACCCCGACGUGUCGGGGCUUGACGGUACUGUAAGAAUAAGGAUCGGCUAACUCCGUGCCAGCAGCCGCGGUAA
Molecule: ribosomal RNA, 496 nt
Filed under: uncultured bacterium
Lineage: Bacteria
Description: partial 16S ribosomal RNA
Rfam family: Bacterial small subunit ribosomal RNA
Source: RNAcentral